RNAcentral lists this ribosomal RNA (639 nucleotides) under Escherichia coli. RNAcentral describes it as "bacterial SSU rRNA". It matches the Rfam family "Bacterial small subunit ribosomal RNA", at positions 771 to 1410 of the family's 1533-position model. The record is from RNAcentral. Lineage: Bacteria; Pseudomonadati; Pseudomonadota; Gammaproteobacteria; Enterobacterales; Enterobacteriaceae.
AACAGGAUUAGAUACCCUGGUAGUCCACGCCGUAAACGAUGUCGACUUGGAGGUUGUGCCCUUGAGGCGUGGCUUCCGGAGCUAACGCGUUAAGUCGACCGCCUGGGGAGUACGGCCGCAAGGUUAAAACUCAAAUGAAUUGACGGGGGCCCGCACAAGCGGUGGAGCAUGUGGUUUAAUUCGAUGCAACGCGAAGAACCUUACCUGGUCUUGACAUCCACGGAAGUUUUCAGAGAUGAGAAUGUGCCUUCGGGAACCGUGAGACAGGUGCUGCAUGGCUGUCGUCAGCUCGUGUUGUGAAAUGUUGGGUUAAGUCCCGCAACGAGCGCAACCCUUAUCCUUUGUUGCCAGCGGUCCGGCCGGGAACUCAAAGGAGACUGCCAGUGAUAAACUGGAGGAAGGUGGGGAUGACGUCAAGUCAUCAUGGCCCUUACGACCAGGGCUACACACGUGCUACAAUGGCGCAUACAAAGAGAAGCGACCUCGCGAGAGCAAGCGGACCUCAUAAAGUGCGUCGUAGUCCGGAUUGGAGUCUGCAACUCGAUUCCAUGAAGUCGGAAUCGCUAGUAAUCGUGGAUCAGAAUGCCACGGUGAAUACGUUCCCGGGCCUUGUACACACCGCCCGUCACACCAUGGGAG